RNAcentral lists this ribosomal RNA (414 nucleotides) under Triticum aestivum (bread wheat). Its description in RNAcentral is "partial small subunit ribosomal RNA". The record is from RNAcentral. Lineage: Eukaryota; Viridiplantae; Streptophyta; Magnoliopsida; Poales; Poaceae.
AUGAGCGUGGCAUCGUGGAACCAGGAAGCACCUGCCCAGGAAGAUCAUCUACACCCGCCCGCCUGUCCAUGCACCAGUGGUGGACUGGAGCUACAAAAAAUAUAUUGGGCGGGUCACAGCGAAAUCGCCGUGGUGACGGAUUUCUCUGGUUUGACAUUCAAAAUUACCGAUGUGCCAACGACUCCUCGCCUUUGUUCCUCGACGCAUAUGCCCCUGCGCCCGUUCCUCAGCAUAGUCAGCGACACAGACGCCGGUGCUGUCGUUCCUCUCAUAGCGGAGGACUCGGAAGCCGCUACUGUUGUUCCUCUACGCGACACCGACGUUGUGCCCUCCAGAACCAUGGCAGGACGCCAUGUGAAUGCCUCAGGGAGUGUGUGGAUGCCCACCAAAUGUUUGAUGGGUUCCCCUAAUUGA